GGCUAUUCUGUGCGGGAUGGAGUUACUGUGAUUAUGAGCUGCUGUGUAGCUAGAAGCUCCUGCAUGUCCGGUGUCCCCCGUGUGCCCGGGCCCGUGCUGGCUUCUUCCUCCUCGGGGCCAGUAAAGGUGAAGUUCCUCGCUGUGAGUGCACAGAGCUCCAGGCUGAGUCCGGCCUCGCAGCCCUGGAAGCCGGGUCCCUCUGCCUUCGCCCCCGCCCCCUGUCCCCAGGUCCUCUACGCUGGGUGCUGCAGGGUCAGCUUUUCCUCCCAGAAACCGCCAGGCCCCGGCGGCCUUUGCCCUUGGUUUUGCUGAAUGCUCCACGAGUCUGGGCUUACUGCCUCACCUCACAGUCACAGUUAAGGACCUUGGGGCUAAGAAUGGAUGAAGAACCCCCAGAGGCAUGGCGUCGGAAGUCUGGACCUCUUCGUCAAGGCCUACGGUGUCGCGGGUGCUGCUCAGGGUGCCAGGCCAGGGGGGAUUGGCCCCGACCAGUGAAAGUGGUAGAUCCAGGGCAAGGCACGGACACCGUCCCGUCCGUCAGUCUGUCCCUGCUGGCCCUGUGGCCAUAACCUAGAUGCCGCUGGGGGUGAAAUGGGGGUUCCUUUCCCGUCUGGAAAAUGCUGGAGGUUUGAUACGCUCAAAGCCCAGAGGCCUCUUCCUGUGGGGCACGAGAAAGGUUGUCUAUAGUCUGACCAGUCUGGGGAAUUUUGGGACCAAGUGUUAAGAAACCCAUUAAAACAUUGUUUUCAUGCUUCAGUGGAUUGUUUUAAUGAACAAUAUUUUCUCAUUAUAAGAGUAAUACUGGUUCAUUAUCAGAAGUUUGGGGAAAUAUGUCUAAUUAGUCACCUAACAGCCCAGAAACACGGACUAAAUAUUUUGGCAUGUGUCUUCGCAGUUUUUAAGGCGUGCUGUGGCGAACGUCGCUGAUGACAUGUGCCUGGAAGCGGCCGAGUAUUUCCUCGGUGAAUUCCUAGAAGAGGCACUGCGGGGCCAGAGACUGACGCCGUCUGCCGGAACGCCCGCCGGACGCGCGUGCGCAGUGCGGUCCGCCUGCGGGCCGGCCGUUGCUUUCCUCUCCGGCGGCCUCUGCAUCGCUUCGGUUUUAAUUUCUCUAACUGCCGGUGAUGUUGAGCAUCUUUUCAUUUUGCUGUUGGCCGUUUGGAAAAUUGCCUUGGUCAAGUUUUAAAUUGGCGAUGUAGCCAAGUCUCUUGAGUUUUUUAUGGUUUCCGGCUUUGGUGUGAGGCCCGGAGUGGCUUUUACCAUUCUGAGAUUUCGUAAGAGUUCACCGAUUUCAUGGCUAGAUUUCAAAAUAAGAGAAAGACUUAAGGAUGGAGGGGCUGAAGCCAGAGGAUCCUUUAUCUGUAUCUGUUUUCCCUGAAGGCGUUCACAGCACCGUUGUAAUUCAAAACACUCAGAUGACAGAAGACAUCAUUUCCUAUGUCUGGACCUCUUCGUCAAGGCCUACGGUGUCGCGGGUGCUGGAGGAAGUGUGACAGUCCCUAGUGGGGGCGAAACUGAUGUCCUCUGCCAUGCCGCGGCGUGUAGAUGCCGGCCCACACUUUGAGGAAUGGACCCUGAGUCCUGCUCUCGCGUGUCCAGGCGGGUCUCUGCUUAUCAAAGCAAAAAACUGAGAAUGCCCAGCAGGAGGGCAUCUGUGAAAAGGAUAGUACAUCGCGCACCGCUGAGCCUCUGAUGGAAAGAACGAGGCGGGCCUGUGCCCAGGGGACGACGUGACACUGAGUUUGCCUGUUUCUAAGGGAGCGUUCUAACCUGAAGCAGAGCAGAAGCCUCCUGAGAGGCAAUGAUUCGGGAGGGCCCAGUCACGCUGUAAACAGAAACUGGACACAUCUCAGAUUUGUUCAAGAAAGAGCCAGAUUGCUUCCAGCUCGAGAUCCGAGAGGAAAAAGAUUUUCUUGCUCUGAGUCUUCGCAGAAAACAAAUUGGACGAAGGCCCUUAUUAGGCAAUUUAGGGAUGUUUGCUCCUGUCCUCAGAGGGCCUGGUGGCCCCAGGAGGUGGCCGGAAUGGGACUCAGGACCAGGAGGGAGGACACCUUUGAAGCUCCAUUCAGCGUAAGAGGCUGCAGAAAACGUGUGAAGACAUCAGAAGAUGACGAGGCUUAGAUACACGAAUCGGAACUAGAAUUUUAACCCUCGGGAUUAAAACGAUGCAAAUGCGAGAAGCAAAACGUGUUCUGGCGACACUCGCCCCAGCCGAGCGUCGAGACUCGGCGGGCGUGACAGCGAGGGUUCCCGCGUCGGCCUCAGACGUCCCCCCACUCCGUCGAAAUCCCGUUUCCGGUUCCCCGAGGCAGAGGAAGAGAGCACCCACCCACCACACAGUCUCUGAGCUGGGCAAAGGCCGCUAGAGAACUUUCUGGAGAACAAAGGGAUCUCUGUGGAUUGCCAGAUCUUCCUGCGACGCCCAGAGCGAGCCUCGACGUCUUGGCUGUGGAGAAUGUCACUUCAGGUGUCAUCUGAAGACCCCAGCCUCAGGCCUCUAGGACUGGGGCGGAAAAGGGUCCGAGCACAACAUUUGUGAUUGAAAAAGGAGAGACUUUUCCUGAAGGAUCCAGUGCUGGCUGAGGGACCGGGUUGGGGGAGAGGUCACUGUCUGAGCACAGACCCCAUCCCUCUGCCGGAGGCACUGACCAGGGAGGGGACAGGGACCCUGGGCUUUAGGGACGGGCCAGUGGCAGAGGGCUUAGUCCAGUGUCCCGCUGCAAAGCCAGACGCUUGUCCUCGGCUGCAUGUGGUGAUGCUUCAGCACGUCUUACAGCCUCAGUUUUCUUACCCACCAGGGUCGAGAAUUGUAGACCUCGGAUGGACGGCAUGACACCGAACCUGCGACCUCGAUCUGGGGGACAGAUUAAGGAGUAAAACCUGACAAGGUCCCCACAUGCCAGAAAUGGGGCGGCGUGAGCUUCGGCGAGCGUGGCAGCCGUGGCCGAGGGUAAACGCGUGGGUGCGCUGAGAUCGGUCACCUCGAGGAAGACGGGUCAGCUCCUGGGGGACAAGCAGGUGAAGAGGAAGAAGCAGUACUUUCCCCGCCUUUCCCUUGGGACCGGCACCCACUAGCGUGGACGGGAAUGCCGGAGCAUCGCCCCUUCGCGGCUCCUGCCGCGGGGGCCCCUCCGACGGAAAAGCAGACCUUCGCGCCCUGACGGAGAACAGCGGCCCCGAGGGUUGGCCCAGGGGGCGGGGCCUGAGUGAUGGGGCCCCCGGCCUGGCCGCCACCUCGUGGAGCCCUGGAUGGGGCGGGCAAGCCGCGUGUGGAGGGGGCGCCGGCAGCCCACAGACGGCGGGGAACCGGCAGGGGCGGGGGGCAGAUCCAGAGUAAGGCAAAGAAGGGAUGUUGAAGGCCCUGGUGUGUGUCACCAGCGUUACUGUCCCCUCUCCCUGCCGAGACCCCAGGGGUCCCCUCAAAGCUUCCCCAGGGGCUUCUGGGGGGAAAGCCCUUGAGAGCGAGACCCCCCAGACGGCACGCAGGACUUUCUCACCCCCUGUGGUGGCCGUGGCUCCAGGCGGGCAGGUCUGGGCUCCACUCUGAACCCCCGUCUCCAGGUUUCAGGGUGGCGGUCGCCCCCACAGCCCAAGUGGAGAGACGGGCCCGGGAACGGUGGCUGGUUUUGUGUGUGCGGCUCUUUCUUGUUCCGAGGUGGGGUGCUGGCCUCCUGGCCUGUACAAGGGGGAGCGGGGACCAGGGUGGCCGCCUCCCUGACCCCUGCCAGGCGUUUCCCGUCGGGGUCCCUGCUGCCUUCCUGUCUCCAGCCGGCCGCCAUCUGCGUGCCACGCCCUCCCUCCCAGCUCCCUUGGGCUGCUGUGUUCUACCUCGCUGGCUUUUUAAGAACCGAUGGGCUCUGUACGCUCAGGCAGGCCACCGGCCCCCGCCCGCCUGUCCCAGACUGCCACACAGGAGAGUCUGGAUGGAAGGCAGCCAGCAUGUUUCCACACCCACCGAGCUGAAGUGGGGGGCUGCCGAUGUGUUUCCGGGGGGCCUCAGCACGGGCUGUCUGGAGGGUCUCGGCCGCGUGUCAGAGUGAGCAGGUCCUGCCCCGACGACAGAGCCACAGUCACUAUCCACUGGACCGUGACUUAAAUCCCCAGCACGCUUACCCAGCUGGGAAGGAGCCGGGGUCCCUCCCAAAGCAGGAGUGAGGAGGAAGUCAGAGAUCGGACAUGGAAAGGGGGGCGUUUCCCUUCCCAGGACAGUCUCGCCCUGGGCCUGGUGCCCAGCCCGAGGCCCGGGACUGCCAGCCAGCGGGCAGUCCUCUGCCGGUCCCACGCCAGCCUCGCUCCUCAGGGUGCAGCGGCCACUGGGCCACCACCCGGCGCUGCCCUUUAUCUGAGCAGGUGACCCCUUAGGACAGUUUUCCUGUCUUAUCUCCGGCUGUAGGCAUUGCAGUCUGGCCACAGCGUUCCCGCAUCCUGACCAGUCUGCUCUGGGGCCGGCCAGGCUGGCGUGGUUUCAGCCGCCCAUUCUUUAAGUGACACCCCCCAAGCUGACUUUACUUCUUCCUGCUGGGCCGAAGACACAGGAGUUACACCCAGCAGGAGGCCGCUCCCCCUGCCCUCCCCUGGGGGCCGGAGUCAGAACCUGCCACCGCAGUGAGCAGGCCGCAGGCCAGGGCAGGGUGAUCGGGCCCAGAGGGGACCGUCCCACCUCCUGGGUCACCUGGGGUGAGCAUGGCAGAGCCAGAGCAGUAGCCGACCUGACAGGAAAACCUAGAGACCAGAGACGUGUGGCCGGGGCUCGGAUGCGGAGGUGAUGGCCGCAGGGUGCGGGCUUCUCUCUGGGGUGAUGAAAUGCUCAGGUCGGCUGUGGUGGUGGAUGCACUUGGAAACCAUUGACUUGUACCCUUUAAGUGGGUGAGUUUGGUGGCGUUUGAAUUCUGUCACAAUAAAGCUGUUAGAAAGGUGGACAAAUAA
Molecule: long non-coding RNA, 4926 nt
Organism: Pteropus alecto (black flying fox)
Lineage: Eukaryota; Metazoa; Chordata; Mammalia; Chiroptera; Pteropodidae
Exons: 5
Source: RefSeq, a predicted model, not a curated record